Long non-coding RNA from Neodiprion fabricii, 142 nucleotides. RefSeq lists it as uncharacterized. The record is from RefSeq and is a predicted model, not a curated record. The transcript has 3 exons. NCBI's taxonomy places the organism in Eukaryota, Metazoa, Arthropoda, Insecta, Hymenoptera, Diprionidae.
UCAGAGGUGUGCUCUUCCGACUUUUUUUGUAGAGCGUCAAAUUUCCUACAAGAACGUGCUUUGGUCCGCUAAUUUAAUAAGCCGUUGCAAAAAUACGAAAUUGCAAAUUUUAAAAAUAUUUAUUCCUGUGUUAUUUAAACGG